Caenorhabditis briggsae is the source of this 78-nucleotide microRNA precursor. It matches the Rfam family "mir-87 microRNA precursor family". Lineage: Eukaryota; Metazoa; Nematoda; Chromadorea; Rhabditida; Rhabditidae. The record is from Rfam.
ACCCGGCCGCCUGAUACUUUCGUCUCAACCUCGCUGUCAGAAUGUCGUAGGUGAGCAAAGUUUCAGGUGUGCCGGAAC